RNAcentral lists this ribosomal RNA (508 nucleotides) under uncultured bacterium. RNAcentral describes it as "partial 16S ribosomal RNA". It matches the Rfam family "Bacterial small subunit ribosomal RNA", at positions 28 to 507 of the family's 1533-position model. The record is from RNAcentral.
GACGAACGCUGGCGGCGUGCCUAAUACAUGCAAGUCGAACGCUUCUUUCCUCCCGAGUGCUUGCACUCAAUUGGAAAGAGGAGUGGCGGACGGGUGAGUAACACGUGGGUAACCUACCCAUCAGAGGGGGAUAACACUUGGAAACAGGUGCUAAUACCGCAUAACAGUUUAUGCCGCAAGGCAUAAGAGUGAAAGGCGCUUUCGGGUGUCGUUGAUGGAUGGACCCGCGGUGCAUUAGCUAGUUGGUGAGGUAACGGCUCACCAAGGCCACGAUGCAUAGCCGACCUGAGAGGGUGAUCGGCCACACUGGGACUGAGACACGGCCCAGACUCCUACGGGAGGCAGCAGUAGGGAAUCUUCGGCAAUGGACGAAAGUCUGACCGAGCAACGCCGCGUGAGUGAAGAAGGUUUUCGGAUCGUAAAACUCUGUUGUUAGAGAAGAACAAGGACGUUAGUAACUGAACGUCCCCUGACGGUAUCUAACCAGAAAGCCACGGCUAACUACGUG